CUUUUAGUCUCAUAGUGA
This 18-nucleotide unclassified non-coding RNA is filed under the name Mus musculus (house mouse). RNAcentral's name for it is "oocyte_clustered_small_RNA10879". The record is from RNAcentral. Lineage: Eukaryota; Metazoa; Chordata; Mammalia; Rodentia; Muridae.